GUUACACUUCUACUGAGAUCUGUGCCUUCAGAGGAUCAACAGUGGACAUUAACUGUACCUAUACAUACCCAUCCACAGUUAAUCACCGUGAUACUACAGUUCAGGAAACUUUCUGGUUCAUUAAAGAGAGUAAUGGGAUUCACGUUGAUCUAAGUACUGAUCUGGAGUAUUCAGGUCGUGUGGAGAAUCUCUGUGGAAACAACAAGUGCACUCUGAGAAUCUCUAACCUGAGAGAGAGCGACUCAGCUGUGUACAAGUUCAGGUUCACAACAAACCAACCUACUGGGAGUUUUACUGGUUAUACUGGAGUCACUCUGUCUGUCACAGGUAACAUUUUCAUGAGAGUCAGUUUGAAAUGUUAGUGUGUAUGUUGAAAUAAAAUCACAUGUUUGUUCACAGACCCUCAGCUCCUGGUACAUGUGAGGAGAUCAACAGCCAAUCCAUCUUCUACCUGGACAGAGCUGACCUGUCACAGCAGGUGUCAGCUCCCUGAUCAUAUUUCCUACGUUUGGUACAAUAACAAUAAACCUGUUGGACGAAAAAAAUACUUUCACCUCCGACACUUUAAUCCUGAAGACAGCUAUCACUGUGCUAUAGAAGGACAGGAGCGUUUCCCUUCUCCUACAUUGUACUAUCCUUCAGAUGCUCCAAAGCCUCCCUCUGUGUCAGUGAGUCCCUCUGGUGAGAUCAUGGAGGGCAGCUCAUUGACUCUGACCUGCAGCAGUGAUGCUAACCCAGCAGCUAAAUACACCUGGUACAAGAGAAGAGGAUAUAAUCAAGUUCAACCUCUCAGUGAAGAGACACAAUUUGUCCUCAGCUACAUCCGGUCGUCAGACUCUGGAGAGUAUUACUGCACAGCUGAGAAUGAGCUGGGAAGGAGUUCAGCAAACAUCUUUAUUACUGUGACAUUUUUACCUGCAUCAUGGAGAUCAGCACUCAUUGGAUCAGCUGCUGCAGUUUUCCUCGCUGUGACUCUCCUCUCCGUGUU
This is a long non-coding RNA of Pleuronectes platessa (European plaice), 988 nucleotides long. RefSeq lists it as uncharacterized. The transcript has 3 exons. The record is from RefSeq and is a predicted model, not a curated record. Lineage: Eukaryota; Metazoa; Chordata; Actinopteri; Pleuronectiformes; Pleuronectidae.